Molecule: ribosomal RNA, 1639 nt
Filed under: termite gut metagenome
Description: bacterial LSU rRNA
Rfam family: Bacterial large subunit ribosomal RNA
Source: RNAcentral
AGGGGGCCUCAAAGCCUACCGACCUCUAUCAAACUUCGAAUGGCAUAUUAUCUAGACCUCGGGAGUCAGACAGUGGGAGAUAAGUUUCAUUGUCAAAAGGGAAACAGCCCAGAUCGCCUGCUAAGGUCCCAAAGUGAUGGUUAAGUGGAAAAGGAUGUGCAAUUGCGCAGACAACCAGGAUGUUGGCUUAGAAGCAGCCACACAUUUAAAGAGUGCGUAAUAGCUCACUGGUCGAGUGAUUCAGCGCCGAAAAUGUCCGGGGCUAAAACCAUCCACCGAAGCAGCGGGUACACGUGAGUGUGCGGUAGAGGAGCGUCGUUUAUUGGGUUGAAGCCAUACCGGAAGGAGUGGUGGACUAUAAACGAGAGAGAAUGCCGGUAUAAGUAACGAGAGAAGAGUGAGAAACUCUUCCGUCGAAAGCCUAAGGUUUCCUGGGGAAGGUUCGUCCGCCCAGGGUAAGUCGGGACCUAAGCCGAGGACAAGAGUCGUAGGCGAUGGACAACAGGUGGAGAUUCCUGUACCGCCGUAUAUCGAUGAAAGCGCAGUGACGCAGGAGGAUAGGACGAGCAGGGUGAUGGUAGGCCCUGUGCAAGCGUUAAGGCUGGUGGGUAGUGAAGUACGCCCACUGAAAAGGCUAAGGCGUGAUGCGGAGCGAAAUUUACAGUAGCGAAGCGUCCGAUUUCACACUGACAAGAAAAGCUGCGUGGGAGGUAUAAGGCGCCCGUACCGCAAACCGACACAGGUAGGUGAGGAGAGAAUCCUAAGACGAGCGGGAGAACCACAGUUAAGGAACUCGGCAAAAUGACCCCGUAACUUCGGGAGAAGGGGUGCCUGCGAAUGCAGGCCGCAGAGAAGAGGCCCAAGCGACUGUUUAGCAAAAACACAGGUCUGUGCGAAAGCGAGAGCUUAAGUAUACGGGCUGACGCCUGCCCGGUGCUGGAAGGUUAAGGGGAAAUGUUAGGGUAACCGAAGCAUGGAGUAAACGGCGGCCGUAACUAUAACGGUCCUAAGGUAGCGAAAUUCCUUGUCGGGUAAGUUCCGACCCGCACGAAUGGCGUAACGACUUGGGCGCUGUCUCAACUGUGGACCCGGUGAAAUUGCAGUAUGCGUGAAGAUGCGCAUUACCCGCGACUGGACGGAAAGACCCCGUAGAGCUUUACUGCAGCUUGGCAUUGGAUUUUGGUAAUGGAUGUACAGAAUAGGUGGGAGACUGUGAAGCGAGGCCGUCAGGUUUCGUGGAGUCGCCGUUGGGAUACCACUCUUCCAUUACUGGAGUUCUAACCCCGUGCCGUUAACCGGGCGGGGGACCGUGCCAGGUGGGCAGUUUGACUGGGGCGGUCGCCUCCGAAAGAGUAACGGAGGCGCCCAAAGGUUCCCUCAGAAUGGAUGGAAACCAUUCAAAGAGUGUAAAGGCAGAAGGGAGCUUGACUGCGAGACUGACAAGUCGAGCAGGUACGAAAGUAGGGCUUAGUGAUCCGGCGGUUUUAGAGUGGAAUAGCCGUCGCUCAACGGAUAAAAGCUACCUCGGGGAUAACAGGCUGAUCUCCCCCAAGAGUCCACAUCGACGGGGAGGUUUGGCACCUCGAUGUCGGCUCGUCGCAUCCUGGGGCUGAAGCAGGUCCCAAGGGUUUGGCUGUUC